GACGAACGCUGGAGGCGUGCUUAACACAUGCAAGUCGAACGAUGAAAUGGAGCUUGCUCAUGGAUUAGUGGCGAACGGGUGAGUAACACGUGAAUAACCUGCCCUUAAUUUUGGAAUAACCCAGGGAAACCUGGGCUAAUACCGGAUAAGUAAACCUGUGGCAUCACAUGGUUUUGGAAAGUUUUUCGAUUAAGGAUGGAUUCGCGGCCGAUCAGCUUGUUGGUGAGGUAAUGGCUCACCAAGGCGACGACGGGUAGCCGGCCUGAGAGGGUGAACGGCCACACUGGACUGAGACACGGCCCAGACUCCUACGGGAGGCAGCAGUGGGGAAUAUUGCGCAAUGGACGAAAGUCUGACGCAGCGACGCCUCGUGAGGGACGAAGGUCUUCGGAUUGUAAACCUCUUUCAGCAGGGACGAAGCGAAAGUGACGGUACCUGCAGAAGAAGCACCGGCUAACUAUGUGCCAGCCGCCGCCGUAA
This 480-nucleotide ribosomal RNA is filed under the name uncultured bacterium. Its description in RNAcentral is "partial 16S ribosomal RNA". It matches the Rfam family "Bacterial small subunit ribosomal RNA", at positions 28 to 523 of the family's 1533-position model. The record is from RNAcentral.